AGAAUCAACGCUGGCGGCGUGCCUAACACAUGCAAGUCGAACGAGAAAGUGGAGCAAUCCAUGAGUAAAGUGGCGCACGGGUGAGUAACACGUGACUAACCUACCCUUGAGUGGGGAUAACCUAGGGAAACCUGGGCUAAUACCGCAUAAUACCUUCGGGUCAAAGGAGCAAUUCGCUUAAGGAGGGGUCGCGGCCGAUUAGUUAGUUGGCGGGGUAAUGGCCCACCAAGACUAUGAUCGGUAU
Molecule: ribosomal RNA, 244 nt
Filed under: uncultured bacterium
Lineage: Bacteria
Description: partial small subunit ribosomal RNA
Rfam family: Bacterial small subunit ribosomal RNA
Source: RNAcentral